This 253-nucleotide ribosomal RNA is filed under the name uncultured bacterium. RNAcentral describes it as "partial 16S ribosomal RNA". It matches the Rfam family "Bacterial small subunit ribosomal RNA", at positions 524 to 776 of the family's 1533-position model. The record is from RNAcentral.
GACGAGCCACACGAACGUUAUUCGGAAUUACUGGGCUUAAAGGGUGCGUAGGCGGUGCGGAAAGUUGGGUGUGAAAUCCCUCGGCUCAACCGAGGAACUGCGCCCAAAACUACCGCACUCGAGGAAGAUAGAGGUGAGCGGAACUUACGGUGGAGCGGUGAAGUGCGUUGAUAUCGUAAGGAACACCCGUGGCGAAAGCGGCUCACUGGGUCUUUUCUGACGCUGAUGCACGAAAGCUAGGGGAGCAAACGGG